UGGGAGCCUUCAUAAAGAAAUAAACACUC
Molecule: non-coding RNA, 29 nt
Filed under: Homo sapiens (human)
Lineage: Eukaryota; Metazoa; Chordata; Mammalia; Primates; Hominidae
Source: RNAcentral